Molecule: ribosomal RNA, 302 nt
Filed under: uncultured bacterium
Lineage: Bacteria
Description: partial 16S ribosomal RNA
Rfam family: Bacterial small subunit ribosomal RNA
Source: RNAcentral
GCAGUCGCCGCGGGAAAACGAAGGGUGCAAACGUUGCUCGGAAUUAUUGGGCGUAAAGCGCACGUAGGCGGCUCCGCAAGUCGGAUGUGAAAUCCCUCGGCUUAACCAAGGAAGUGCAUCCGAAACUGCAGAGCUUGAGUACUUAAGAGGAUCGCGGAAUUCCCGGUGUAGAGGUGAAAUGCGUAGAGAUCGGGAGGAACAUCAGUGGCGAAGGCGGCCAUCUGGGACAACACUGACGCUGAGGCACGAAAGCGUGGGGAGCAAACAGGAUUAGAUACCCCCGUAGUCCCUGUCUCUUAUAC